CCGCGCGCGCCCGCCCCGGGAGGAGGGUGCGCGGCGGAGGCGCGGGGGGGGGGGGGGGAGUCGAGGAGGGGCCGCGCCCGGUCCUCGCCCGCAGCGGGCACCGCCGGGGGCCCCGGGAGGCCUUGUUGGUAUUCCGGGCACAGCAGAAGCCCUGACCUCCCCGCGGAACAGGGGCGCCCGGGAGCGCGGCGCGGCCGCCGCCCCCGGGCGGUCUCCCCGGACUGCGGGGCCGUAGGCGCCUUGCUCCCCCUCCUCCCUGUCCCCUCCUCUCCAGGUCCCCCGUACCCCCUCCCCCGGCCUGAUCCGGCGGCGAAGGGGUGGGCAGGGAAACGCGCUCUCUGGGACAGGUGCCAACUCCGAGACAAAAGACAUAAAAUAGGCGGCAACGGGGGAAGCGCGGCCGGCGCGCUCGGGCGGGGACGGAGGCGCCGCGGGGGCCGCAUCCUCGGUGCCGACCGGGGAAAGUUUGGGAAGUCGCCGCGGCGGCUUCGCAGCGGCGGGGGACACGCGGGCCGGGCCGCCCUCCGCGCCGCGCUCGCCCUCUCCGCGCCGCUGCUGAAUAAUUCAUGGCGCGGCCGCCGGCCAUUAGCAUGCACCGGGCGCGCGGCGCGUCUGUGCCCAGCCGUCGCCGCCGCAUUCGGCGCCCCGGCCGCGCUAGACGAGCGGCCGCGCAGAGGCCGGGCCCGCGCCGUCCCCGCGCUCGCCCGCCCGUCCGCCCGUCCGCCCACCCGGCGGCUCCCAUUGUGCCCCAGGCCCGCGCCGCUCCGCCGUCCUGUGACCGCCUGCGCCCCGCAGCGCGCCCGACGGCCGGCCGCUGGAAGUUCGGGCCCGCGGCGCACGCCCUGCCGCCCCGGGAUGCACGUGAACUUGGAGAAAGUCUCGGGGCGCGCCGGCGCAGACCUCCGCGGCAGGGCGUGGGCGCCCCUGGCCCCGCGCGCUUUCGUUUUCGUCUGGGACAAAGGUCCCUCGCGGCGCAGGUCGCGGACGUGGAGGCAGUGCCCUGCGGGCCACUCAGCGGGGAGGUCCGGUCGUUCAGUCAAGGGAAGCCGGAGCCUGGAGAAGACGAGCCGCGCGGUCGGAGGCGCGGUGCGGGACCAGGACAGUGGGGCCUGGCCGUGCGCUUCGCCCUGGCGGUCCAGGAGCUGUCUCGCCCUCCGAAGAGUUACGGGAGGUGGCACUGCUUUUGCUCUCUGCCCUUUCGACACGUGAAGGAGAGAAUCAUUCGGAACCCAGGACUCAGACCGGUGGCCGAGGGCCUGUGCAGCCGCGAGCACGACAGCGCAGCGCUGGCCGCGUCCGCGCGCGUUCCUCCGACAAGGGCAGAGCAGUCGACCAGCGCGCCCCAGUCUCGAUCGGGUUCAAGGCGACUCUUGAGGACGGUGGCUGACACACGGGCCCAGCCGGCAGCCCUGGGGAAUUUGUGGGGAGCAAGAAAGGGGUGA
This 1442-nucleotide long non-coding RNA is filed under the name Sus scrofa (pig). Its description in RNAcentral is "lncRNA (ENSSSCG00055029012.1)". Lineage: Eukaryota; Metazoa; Chordata; Mammalia; Artiodactyla; Suidae. The record is from RNAcentral.